RNAcentral lists this ribosomal RNA (253 nucleotides) under uncultured bacterium. RNAcentral describes it as "partial 16S ribosomal RNA". It matches the Rfam family "Bacterial small subunit ribosomal RNA", at positions 524 to 776 of the family's 1533-position model. The record is from RNAcentral.
UACGGAGGAGGCAAGCGUUAUCCGGAAUUAUUGGGCGUAAAGCGUCCGUAGGUGGCUAGUCAAGUCUGCGGUCAAAGACUGGGGCUUAACCCUGGAAAGGCCGUGGAAACUGACGAGCUAGAGUGCAGUAGGGGUAGAGGGAAUUCCCGGUGUAGCGGUGAAAUGCGUAGAGCUCGGGAAGAACAUCGGUGGCGAAAGCGCUCUACUGGACUGCAACUGACACUCAGGGACGAAAGCUAGGGGAGCGAAUGGG